RNAcentral lists this ribosomal RNA (250 nucleotides) under uncultured bacterium. RNAcentral describes it as "partial 16S ribosomal RNA". It matches the Rfam family "Bacterial small subunit ribosomal RNA", at positions 85 to 334 of the family's 1533-position model. The record is from RNAcentral.
CUUGGUGGCGCCGGCGCACGGGUGGGUAACGCGUAUGCAACUUACCUAUCAGAGGGGGAUAGCCCGGCGAAAGUCGGAUUAAUACCCCAUGAAACAGGGGUCCCGCAUGGGAAUAUUUGUUAAAGAUUCAUCGCUGAUAGAUAGGCAUGCGUUCCAUUAGGCAGUUGGCGGGGUAACGGCCCACCAAACCGACGAUGGAUAGGGGUUCUGAGAGGAAGGUCCCCCACAUUGGUACUGAGACACGGACCAA